RNAcentral lists this ribosomal RNA (454 nucleotides) under uncultured bacterium. RNAcentral's name for it is "SSU rRNA". It matches the Rfam family "Bacterial small subunit ribosomal RNA", at positions 26 to 518 of the family's 1533-position model. The record is from RNAcentral.
AGAGCGAACGCUGGCGGCAUGCUUAACACAUGCAAGUCGCACGGUCAGGUUUCGGCCUGGUAGUGGCGGACGGGUGAGUAACGCGUAGGUAUCUAUCCGAAGGUGGGGGAUAACGGCGGGAAACUGCUGCUAAUACCGCAUAUGACCUGAGGGUCAAAGGUCGCAAGACCGCCUGUGGAGGAGCCUGCGUACGAUUAGCUUGUUGGUGGGGUAAAGGCCUACCAAGGCGACGAUCGUUAGCUGGUCUGAGAGGAUGAUCAGCCACAUUGGGACUGAGACACGGCCCAAACUCCUACGGGAGGCAGCAGUGGGGAAUAUUGGACAAUGGGGGCAACCCUGAUCCAGCAAUGCCGCGUGUGUGAAGAAGGUCUUCGGAUUGUAAAGCACUUUCGACGGGGACGAUGAUGACGGUACCCGUAUAAGAAGCCCCGGCUAACUUCGUGCCAGCAGCCGC